RNAcentral lists this transfer RNA (72 nucleotides) under Bos taurus (domestic cattle). It matches the Rfam family "tRNA". Rfam says of the family: Transfer RNA (tRNA) molecules are approximately 80 nucleotides in length. Their secondary structure includes four short double-helical elements and three loops (D, anti-codon, and T loops). Further hydrogen bonds mediate the characteristic L-shaped molecular structure. tRNAs have two regions of fundamental functional importance: the anti-codon, which is responsible for specific mRNA codon recognition, and the 3' end, to which the tRNAs corresponding amino acid is attached (by aminoacyl-tRNA synthetases). tRNAs cope with the degeneracy of the genetic code in two manners: having more than one tRNA (with a specific anti-codon) for a particular amino acid; and 'wobble' base-pairing, i.e. permitting non-standard base-pairing at the 3rd anti-codon position. Lineage: Eukaryota; Metazoa; Chordata; Mammalia; Artiodactyla; Bovidae. The record is from Rfam by way of RNAcentral. RNAcentral also lists the same sequence under 1 other name.
UCCCUGGUGGCUCAGACAGUAAAGCAUCUGCCUUCAAUGCGGGAGACCUGGGUUCGAUUCCUGGGUUGGGAA